RNAcentral lists this ribosomal RNA (253 nucleotides) under uncultured bacterium. RNAcentral's name for it is "partial 16S ribosomal RNA". It matches the Rfam family "Bacterial small subunit ribosomal RNA", at positions 524 to 776 of the family's 1533-position model. The record is from RNAcentral.
GACAGAGGGGGCAAGCGUUGUCCGGACUGACUGGGCGUAAAGCGCGCGCAGGCGGUUCGAGGCGUCGGUGCUGAAAGUCCACCGCUUAACGGUGGGAAGCGCGCCGAUACGCUCGAACUGGAGGGCGGGCGAGGGUGGUGGAAUUGCCGGUGUAGUGGUGAAAUGCGUAGAGAUCGGCAGGAACACCAGUGGCGAAGGCGGCCACCUAGCCCGCACCUGACGCUGAGGCGCGACAGCGUGGGGAGUGAACUGG